UUUUUUGGAAGAUUAGCCUUGAACUAACUUCAUGCCACCAAUCCUCCUGUUCUUGCUGAGGAAGCCAGGCCCUGAGCUAACAUCCGUGCCCAUCUUCCUCUAGUUUAUACGUGGGACGCCUGCCAAAGCAUGACUCGAUGAAGAGUGUGUAGGUCUGCACCCGGGACCCAAACCGGUGAACCUUGGGCCACCGAAGCAGAACGCGCAAACUUAACCACUGCACCACCAGAUGUCACACCAUCCCUGCAUCUCUGGAAUGAAUCCCACCUGAUCAUGAUGGUAAUGAAGGCUUCAUAGAAGGAGUUAGGAAGCCUCCCCUCCUCUUCAAUUUUUUGGAAGACUUUGAGAAGGCUUUCAGCAAACAGAAGUAGGAUGAGCAGGAAGAUACACACGAAGGAAAUUUAUGUGGACCAGUUCUGUAGUAGUGCUUGUCCCUCUCGCGACAUUCAUAUUAGCACAUUUAACUGUUAAGGAGGCUGGGAAAAGUCAUCUAGCUGUGCGCUCAGGAGGAAGAGAAAAUGGUUUGGAAGAACAGCACUAGGAGCCUGCUGUGGUGCCUUCAACAAAUGGGAGUUUGUUUUUCUUCUGUUCAAGACGUCUCAAGAGAAAACUGAAGAAAAAAACCCGAACAAACCUGAAAGAAGACCAUAGAAAAGGAGUCACCCAAAAGAGUGAAAAAAUAUAUUUAGUAAAGGACUCAAAACUUUUAGAAGGCAGGGACUGCAUCUUUUUUUGGGGGGGGUGGGGGUGAAUAUGGUUUAGAGACCAGUGAAAUGUAAAGCUAACUUACUUUUUGGCUGAAAUUGAUUGAUUGUGCAAAUACUGAUUAUUACAAUGCCUGGAAAAAUUCGUCUAGUCAAAAAUAGCAAUUGCCAUGACUACAUGUCCAUGAGUCUCUCUCUUUUUUACUUGCUUUGUCUGCUGGUUGAAACAGGGAGGGACAGACACGUGAGAGGUACACGCUAUGUGCCACUGCUUCUGACGCUGCCAUGGUUAACAUGACGGGGUCAAAGCCACUUCACAGUUUUGCUUCAGAAGCCACAAAAGACUUCCUGUGAUGUCAGGCAGCCUGCAGUAACCCAAAUGGUCGCCCCAAAAGGCACAUCUCUGACAAAGAGUCUUUGACAGACUUAGUUACUUUCAGUGCCAGUCACUGCCUUGCUGGAAGUCUGUCUGGAUGUCCCUUCUGCAAAGCAACUAAGUCCUUCCAGCAUCAAAGUGAGAAUAAAAAUAUCUUGACAAGCUCAUCUCUCUUUUUGAAUCCCUUGGACACUUGGGCACUGGUGUGCUCUGAAUCCAGGAUCGUGCUGGGAGAGCAGUAAGCUGAUGGCUGUGGAAUGUGCCCUUGGAAAUGGAACGGCCUGGAGGUGGGGAAUUUCAGCCAGGUGCUGGCACCAAAGGAGAUUUAAGCAAAUUCUUCUCAGAUUUGUGCAUAGAGAUAUGAUUUUCUUAAAAUUAAAAACUCAUAAUGUGAAAGUUCUCAUUAGAAAACAGAAAAACAUUUUGACUUAGCUUGUCAGGGAACAUACAACUUAUUUCAGGUUAUUAUUUUCUUUUUGAAGACUUAUAUUUUAAAAAUGUAACAAAAACAAAAUUAAGACUAAUUUUACCACUUGCUGAAUGGGAAAGUGAGACUUGUUUUGAGAAUGGACCUAGCUAGGGGAGUCUUAUGUUUUUCUUGCUUUCACAGCCCUGGCUCUACAAACGAUUCCAG
Molecule: long non-coding RNA, 1714 nt
Organism: Equus asinus (donkey)
Lineage: Eukaryota; Metazoa; Chordata; Mammalia; Perissodactyla; Equidae
Source: Ensembl